GCUCUUCUAGUAUAAAUAAUACAAGUGACUUCCAAUCACUAAACCCCUAACACACAACAAGGGGAAAAGCAA
This is a non-coding RNA of Alligator sinensis (Chinese alligator), 72 nucleotides long. NCBI's taxonomy places the organism in Eukaryota, Metazoa, Chordata, Crocodylia, Alligatoridae. The record is from the annotation of a RefSeq genome assembly.